AACGAACGCUGGCGGCAUGCCUAACACAUGCAAGUCGAACGAGACCUUCGGGUCUAGUGGCGCACGGGUGCGUAACGCGUGGGAACCUGCCCUUAGGCUCGGAAUAACUCCCCGACAGGGGUGCUAAUACCGGAUAAUGUCUUCGGACCCAAGAUUUAUCGCCUUUGGAUGGGCCCGCGUUGGAUUAGCUAGUUGGUAGGGUAAAAGCCUACCAAGGCGACGAUCCAUAGCUGGUCUGAGAGGAUGAUCAGCCACACUGGGACUGAGACACGGCCCAGACUCCUACGGGAGGCAGCAGUGGGGAAUAUUGGACUAUGGGCGAAGGCCUGAUCCAGCAAUGCCGCGUGAGUGAUGAAGGCCUUAGGGUUGUAAAGCUCUUUUACCCGGGAUGAUAAUGACAGUACCGGGAGAAUAAGCUCCGGCUAACUCCGUG
RNAcentral lists this ribosomal RNA (433 nucleotides) under uncultured bacterium. Its description in RNAcentral is "partial 16S ribosomal RNA". It matches the Rfam family "Bacterial small subunit ribosomal RNA", at positions 29 to 507 of the family's 1533-position model. The record is from RNAcentral.